GACGAACGCUGGCGGCGUGCUUAACACAUGCAAGUCGAACGGUGAACGAGGGAGCUUGCUCCCUCCGGAUCAGUGGCGAACGGGUGAGUAACACGUGAGCAAUCUGCCCCGAACUCUGGGAUAAGCGUUGGAAACGACGUCUAAUACCGGAUACGACGCGGGAGGGCAUCCUCUCCGCGUGGAAAGAACUUCGGUUCGGGAUGAGCUCGCGGCCUAUCAGCUUGUUGGUGAGGUAACGGCUCACCAAGGCGACGACGGGUAGCCGGCCUGAGAGGGUGACCGGCCACACUGGGACUGAGACACGGCCCAGACUCCUACGGGAGGCAGCAGUGGGGAAUAUUGCACAAUGGGCGCAAGCCUGAUGCAGCAACGCCGCGUGAGGGACGACGGCCUUCGGGCUGUAAACCUCUUUUAGCAGGGAAGAAGCGAAAGUGACGGUACCUGCAGAAAAAGCACCGGCUAACUACGUG
Molecule: ribosomal RNA, 470 nt
Filed under: uncultured bacterium
Lineage: Bacteria
Description: partial 16S ribosomal RNA
Rfam family: Bacterial small subunit ribosomal RNA
Source: RNAcentral